This 369-nucleotide ribosomal RNA is filed under the name uncultured Lactobacillus sp. RNAcentral's name for it is "bacterial SSU rRNA". It matches the Rfam family "Bacterial small subunit ribosomal RNA", at positions 172 to 525 of the family's 1533-position model. The record is from RNAcentral. Lineage: Bacteria; Bacillati; Bacillota; Bacilli; Lactobacillales; Lactobacillaceae.
CGUAAAAAGCUACUUUCGCAUGAAAGAGUUUAAAAAAGUAGGCGUAAAGCUGUGCUAAGGAUGGACCUGCGAUGCAUUAGCUAGUUGGUAAGGUAACGGCUUACCAAGGCGAUGAUGCAUAGCCGAGUUGAGAGACUGAUCGGCCACAUUGGGACUGAGACACGGCCCAAACUCCUACGGGAGGCAGCAGUAGGGAAUCUUCCACAAUGGACGCAAGUCUGAUGGAGCAACGCCGCGUGAGUGAAGAAGGUUUUCGGAUCGUAAAGCUCUGUUGUUGGUGAAGAAGGAUAGAGGUAGUAACUGGCCUUUAUUUGACGGUAAUCAACCAGAAAGUCACGGGCUAACUACGUGCCAGCAGCCGCGGUAAAU